Molecule: non-coding RNA, 242 nt
Organism: Podospora aff. communis PSN243
Lineage: Eukaryota; Fungi; Ascomycota; Sordariomycetes; Sordariales; Podosporaceae
Source: the annotation of a GenBank genome assembly
GCCCCGGUGGUGCAGUUGGUAGCAUGCUGUACUCCAAGCAAAAGUGUUGAUCUCAGCCGCCCCCGCCGCGUUCGACUAAGAUACCGGUAAAAAGCUUUCUUUCUCGAUGACAACCCCGGCGCCCCAAAAAUCCCCCCGACCGCUCGGCGACAACCCCGGCGCCCGAUUCGACAUGACGACAACCUGAGAUCUCACAAGUAGCUAGGUUUCCCAAAAACUUUGGUUCGAUUCCGAACCGGGCA